RNAcentral lists this ribosomal RNA (802 nucleotides) under uncultured soil archaeon. RNAcentral describes it as "bacterial SSU rRNA". It matches the Rfam family "Archaeal small subunit ribosomal RNA", at positions 79 to 865 of the family's 1478-position model. The record is from RNAcentral.
UGGUUACCAGCUCAGUAACACGUGGCUAACCUGCCCUCGAGACGGUGACAACCCCGGGAAACUGGGGCUAAUCUCCGAUAGGCGAAGAGCUCUGGAAUGAGCCUUUACCCAAACAGCAAUCAGGCUAUGCUUCUGAUUGUCGCUCGAGGAUGGGGCCGCGACCGAUCAGGUUGUUGGUGAGGUAAUGGCUCACCAAGCCUUUGACCGGUUCGGGCCGUGGGAGCGGUAGCCCGGAUAUGGGCACUGAGACAAGGGCCCAGGCCCUACGGGGCGCAGCAGUCGCGAAAAUUUCGCAAUAAGCGAAAGCUUGACGGAGCUAUCCCGAAUGCCAUCCGCUGAGGAUGGCUUUUCCCUAGUAUAGAUAGCUGGGGGAAUAAGGAGAGGGCAAGUCUGGUGUCAGCCGCCGCGGUAAUACCAGCUCUCCGAGUGGUGGGGAUGAUUAUUGGGCCUAAAGCAUCCGUAGCCGGCUGGGCAAGUCCCCUGUUAAACCCAAUGAUUUAAUCGUUGGUCUGCGGGGGAUACUGCUUGGCUAGGGGGCGAGAGAGGCCGUCGGUAUUCCCGGGGUAGGGGUGAAAUCCUAUAAUCCCGGGAGGACCACCAGUGGCGAAGGCUGUCGGCUAGAACGCGCCCGACGGUGAGGGAUGAAAGCUGGGGGAGCGAACCGGAUUAGAUACCCGGGUAGUCCCAGCUGUAAACGAUGCAGGCUAGGUGUUAGGGCGGCCACGUGCCGCUCUAGUGCCGCAGGGAAGCUGUUAAGCCUGCCGCCUGGGGAGUACGGCUGCGAGGCUGANCUUAAAGGCCA